UCAUGGUGAAAUAUUGAAAGACGGUUUCGGCUGUCGCUAUAGGAUGGGCCCGCGGCGCAUAGCUAGUUGGUGGAGGUAACGGCUCACCAAGGCGACGAUGCGUAGCCGACUGAGAGGGUGAUCGGCCACACUGGGACUGAGACACGGCCCAGACUCUACGGGAGGCAGCAGUAGGGAAUCUUCCACAAUGGGCGAAAGCCUGAUGGAGCAACGCCGCGUGAGUGAAGAAGGAUUUCGGUUCGUAAAACUCUGUUGUAAGGGAAGAACAAGUACAGUAGUAACUGGCUGUACCUUGACGGUACCUUAUUAGAAAGCCACGGCUAACUACGUGCCAGCAGCCGCGGUAAUACGUAGGUGGCAAGCGUUGUCCGGAAUUAUUGGGCGUAAAGCGCGCGCAGGUGGUUUCUUAAGUCUGAUGUGAAAGCCCACGGCUCAACCGUGGAGGGUCAUUGGAAACUGGGAGACUUGAGUGCAGAAGAGGAUAGUGGAAUUCCAAGUGUAGCGGUGAAAUGCGUAGAGAUUUGGAGGAACACCAGUGGCGAAGGCGACUAUCUGGUCUGUAACUGACACUGAGGCGCGAAAGCGUGGGGAGCAAACAGGAUUAGAUACCCUGGUAGUCCACGCCGUAAACGAUGAGUGCUAAGUGUUAGGGGGUUUCCGCCCCUUAGUGCUGCAGCUAACGCAUUAAGCACUCCGCCUGGGGAGUACGGUCGCAAGACUGAAACUCAAAGGAAUUGACGGGGGCCCGCACAAGCGGUGGAGCAUGUGGUUUAAUUCGAAGCAACGCGAAGAACCUUACCAGGUCUUGACAUCCCGUUGACCACUGUAGAGAUAUGGUUUCCCCUUCGGGGGCAACGGUGACAGGUGGUGCAUGGUUGUCGUCAGCUCGUGUCGUGAGAUGUUGGGUUAAGUCCCGCAACGAGCGCAACCCUUGAUCUUAGUUGCCAUCAUUUAGUUGGGCACUCUAAGGUGACUGCCGGUGACAAACCGGAGGAAGGUGGGGGAUGACGUCAAAUCAUCAUGCCCCUUAUGACCUGGGCUACACACGUGCUACAAUGGGACGAUACAAACGGUUGCCAACUCGCGAGAGGGAGCUAAUCCCGAUAAAGUCGUUCUCAGUUCGGAUUGUAGGCUGCAACUCGCCUACAUGAAGCCGGAAUCGCUAGUA
Molecule: ribosomal RNA, 1168 nt
Filed under: Lysinibacillus sphaericus
Lineage: Bacteria; Bacillati; Bacillota; Bacilli; Caryophanales; Bacillaceae
Description: bacterial SSU rRNA
Rfam family: Bacterial small subunit ribosomal RNA
Source: RNAcentral